GACGAACGCUGGCGGCAUGCUUAACACAUGCAAGUCGAACGAUGAAGAAGAGAAACGCGAACUUCGGUUCAAAUUUCACUUCGGAUUAGUGGCAGACGGGUGAGUAACGCGUGAGCAACCUACCUCUUACAAAGGGAUAGCCUCGGGAAACCGUGAUUAAUACCAUAUGACACAUUCAUAAGGCAUCUUAAGAAUGUUAAAGCUACGGCGGUAAGAGAUGGGCUCGCGUCCCAUUAGCUAGUUGGUGAGGUAACGGCCCACCAAGGCGACGAUGGGUAACCGGCCUGAGAGGGUGAACGGUCACAUUGGAACUGAGACACGGUCCAAACUCCUACGGGAGGCAGCAGUGGGGAAUAUUGCACAAUGGAGGGAACUCUGAUGCAGCGACGCCGCGUGAGCGAUGAAGGAAUUCGUUUCGUAAAACUCUGUUCUAUGGGAAGAAAAGGACUGUACCAUAGGAGAAAGCCCCGGCUAAAUACGUG
RNAcentral lists this ribosomal RNA (482 nucleotides) under uncultured bacterium. Its description in RNAcentral is "partial 16S ribosomal RNA". It matches the Rfam family "Bacterial small subunit ribosomal RNA", at positions 28 to 507 of the family's 1533-position model. The record is from RNAcentral.